RNAcentral lists this ribosomal RNA (752 nucleotides) under uncultured bacterium. Its description in RNAcentral is "bacterial SSU rRNA". It matches the Rfam family "Bacterial small subunit ribosomal RNA", at positions 8 to 796 of the family's 1533-position model. The record is from RNAcentral.
AGAGUUUGAUCAUGGCUCAGAACGAACGCUGGCGGCAUGCCUAACACAUGCAAGUCGAACGUGAUCCAGGCUUCGGCCUGGUGAAAGUGGCAGACGGGUGAGUAACGCGUGGGAACCUGCCCUGUGGUAGGGAAUAACCGUGGGAAACUGCGGCUAAUACCCUAUGAGUCCUUCGGGAGAAAGAUUUAUCGCCAUAGGAGGGGCCCGCGUCGGAUUAGGUAGUUGGUGGGGUAACGGCCUACCAAGCCUUCGAUCCGUAGCUGGUCUGAGAGGAUGAUCAGCCACACUGGGACUGAGAUACGGCCCAGACUCCUACGGGAGGCAGCAGUGGGGAAUAUUGGACAAUGGGGGCAACCCUGAUCCAGCAAUGCCGCGUGGAUGAUGAAGGCCUUCGGGUUGUAAAGUCCUUUCGGCGGGGAAGAUGAUGACGGUACCCGCAGAAGAAGCCCCGGCUAACUUCGUGCCAGCAGCCGCGGUAAUACGAAGGGGGCUAGCGUUGUUCGGAAUUACUGGGCGUAAAGGGCGCGUAGGCUGUGCUGUAAGUCAGGCGUGAAAGCCCCGGGCUCAACCUGGGAAUUGCGCUUGAUACUGCGGCGCUGGAAGGUGGGAGAGGAUGGCGGAAUUCCCAGUGUAGAGGUGAAAUUCGUAGAUAUUGGGGAGAACACCGGUGGCGAAGGCGGCCAUCUGGCCCACAAUUGACGCUGAGGCGCGAAAGCGUGGGGAGCAAACAGGAUUAGAUACCCUAGUAGUCC